Molecule: ribosomal RNA, 420 nt
Filed under: uncultured bacterium
Lineage: Bacteria
Description: bacterial SSU rRNA
Rfam family: Bacterial small subunit ribosomal RNA
Source: RNAcentral
AAGGAAUAUUGGACAAUGGGCGGAAGCCUGAUCCAGCCAUCCCGCGUGCAGGAUGACGGCCCUAUGGGUUGUAAACUGCUUUAGAAUGGGAAGAAAGUUAUGGUUUUAACUGUAAUUGACGGUACCAUUAGAAUAAGCACCGGCUAACUCCGUGCCAGCAGCCGCGGUAAUACGGAGGGUGCAAGCGUUAUCCGGAAUUACUGGGUUUAAAGGGUGCGUAGGCGGCUUUAUAAGUCAGAGGUGAAAGCUUGCCGCUUAACGGUAAAAUUGCCUUGGAUACUGUAGAGCUUGAAAGAGGUUGAGGUCAGCAGAAUGUGGCAUGUAGCGGUGAAAUGCAUAGAUAUGCCAUAGAACACCGAUUGCGAAGGCAGCUGACUGGGCCUACUUUGACGCUGAGGCACGAAAGCGUGGGGAGCGAAC